Molecule: ribosomal RNA, 220 nt
Filed under: uncultured bacterium
Lineage: Bacteria
Description: partial 16S ribosomal RNA
Rfam family: Bacterial small subunit ribosomal RNA
Source: RNAcentral
AUUGAACGCUGGCGGCAGGCUUAACACAUGCAAGUCGAACGGUAACAUGGGUGCUUGCACCUGAUGACGAGUGGCGGACGGGUGAGUAAUGUAUGGGGAUCUGCCGAAUGGAAUGGGACAACAGUUGGGAAACGACUGCUAAUACCGUAUAAUGUCGCGAGACCAAAGUGUGGGACUUUCGGCCGACAUGCCAUUUGUAUGACCCGACUAUGGGAGUUAG